RNAcentral lists this long non-coding RNA (1761 nucleotides) under Macaca fascicularis (crab-eating macaque). Its description in RNAcentral is "lncRNA (ENSMFAG00000055754.1)". The record is from RNAcentral. Lineage: Eukaryota; Metazoa; Chordata; Mammalia; Primates; Cercopithecidae.
UUUUUGGUUACAUGGAUGAAUUACAUAGUGGUGAAUUCUGAGAUUUUAGUGCACCCAUCACCUGGGUAGUGUACACUGUAGCCAAUAUGUAGUUUUUAUCCCACAUCCCCCUUCUACUCUCCUCCUCCUGAGUCUACAAAGUCCAUUAUGUCACUGUGUGUCUUUGCUUACUCAUAGUUCAGCUCCCACUUCUAAGUGAGAACAAAUGGUAUUUGAUUUUCCAUUCCUGAGUUGUUUCACUUAGAAUAAUGGCUUCCAGCUCUAUUCAAGUUGCCACAAAAGAUACUGCUUCCUUCCUUUUUAUGGCUGAAUGGUAUCCCAGGAUGUAUAUAUACAUUUUCUUUAUCCAUUCAUUGGUCAAUGGGCACUUACGUUGGUUCCAUGUCUUUGCAAUUGUGAAUUGGGCUGCAAUAAACAUAUAUGUUCAGGUGUCUUUUUCAUAUAAUGACUUAUUUUCCUUUGGGUAGAUACUCAGUAGUGGGAUUGCUGGAUUGAAUGGUAGAUUUACUCUCAGUUCUUUAAGGAAUCUCCAUACUGUUUUCCAUAGAGGUUGUACUAAUUUACAUUCCCACCAGCAGUGUAUAAGCGUUCCCCUUUCGCCAUAUUCACACUAACAUCUAUUGUUUUUUGACUUUUUAAUACUGGCCAUUGUUGCAGGAGUAAGGUGGUAUCUGACUGUGGCUGUAAUUUGCGUUUGCCUGAUGAUUAGUGAUGUUGAGCAUUUCCUCAUAUGUUUAUUGGCUAUUUGUAUAUCUUCUUUUGAGAAAUGUCUGUCCAUGUCAUUUGCCCACUUUUUGAUGGGAUUAUUUCUGACAACAUUUUUGAAGGAUAAUUUUGGCUGCUGAAUAAAAUACAGAGUGACAGAGGUAGAAGAAAUAGGGAGGCCAGUUACGUGACAUUGAUGGCUUGGACUAGGAACUUAUGCUAGGAGUCAUUUCUGGGCUUUAUUCUUCAGUUAGGAAUGGACUAGGAACUUAUGCUAGGAGUCAUUUCUGGGCUUUAUUCUUCAGUUAGGAAUAUAGACUAUGAUCAGUUAUCAUUUGCCUCAAAAUGUCAUUUAUAAUUAGUUUGAUUUAUAAAUCAAAAUAAUUUGUAUUUAUUAUUUAUAUGAUUUUUUAGCUAUGACUUUUAAUAUUUCUUCAAUUUAAGCUCUUCUCCAGCAUAAUUCUGACUCAGUGCCUGAACCUUCCUUUUCACUUAGAACCAGGCAAUUCCUGAAGCAUUCUGGUUAAAGAUACACUGCAAGGAAUGCAGCUUCUCUGACAUUGAGGGUGCGGUUUUUAUAAUCAACAUGAAUAAUUCAGCAGUGCAUUAUUUGUGCUUUAUUAUCGUUUACUUCAACUUGAAGUUAUGGACUUUUUUUUAAUCAGCAGAAGCUCAUCCAUCACUCUGCAUCCCUUGCAUCUACCAGGUUAUAAAAUUCGCUAUUUAUAGCAACAAUUGAGACGUGAAAUGAGAAUGAGUAUUUUGUUCCUCUGACAUCUAACCUUAGGUCAAGCACAGGAUCUAGAGAUGGAUUUUUACAGGAAGUGAAAUGAAAGCACAUUGCUGGAGAUUAAUGCCAGUCUGGGUGCUCAAGGGAAUGCCCUCUCUGGCUGCUUCCCAGAAGAAAAAUGGUAAGUAAUGUGGAUUGUGUGUCAAAUCUACAGAGUGGGUGGCAGUGGAAUGACGGACAGGACGCCCGAGUGGUCUGGCAUCAGAGUGCAUGAGGCUAAUUUUCUCAAAAUGAGUUAUGAUCUCCUAAAAUCCUGUUCAGAGACU